Molecule: non-coding RNA, 93 nt
Organism: Drosophila persimilis
Lineage: Eukaryota; Metazoa; Arthropoda; Insecta; Diptera; Drosophilidae
Source: Rfam
UCGUGCUCAACGGGUAAGUGGUGUAGAUGAAACAAAUUAACCAACCUUUAUUGUGUUGGAUUGUUUCACCUAUCGUUCCAUUUGCAGGUACGA